AUAUUGGGCAAUGGGGGAAACCCUGACCCAGCAACGCCGCGUGAAGGAAGAAGGCCUUCGGGUUGUAAACUUCUUUUACCAGGGACGAAGAAAGUGACGGUACCUGGAGAAAAAGCUCCGGCUAACUACGUGCCAGCAGCCGCGGUAAUACGUAUGGUGCAAGCGUUAUCCGGAUUUACUGGGUGUAAAGGGAGCGUAGACGGAUGUGCAAGUCUGGAGUGAAAGCCCGGGGCUCAACCCCGGGACUGCUUUGGAAACUGUAGAUCUAGAGUGCUGGAGAGGUAAGUGGAAUUCCUAGUGUAGCGGUGAAAUGCGUAGAUAUUAGGAGGAACACCAGUGGCGAAGGCGGCUUACUGGACAGUAACUGACGUUGAGGCUCGAAAGCGUGGGGAGCAAA
This 397-nucleotide ribosomal RNA is filed under the name uncultured bacterium. RNAcentral describes it as "bacterial SSU rRNA". It matches the Rfam family "Bacterial small subunit ribosomal RNA", at positions 361 to 772 of the family's 1533-position model. The record is from RNAcentral.